UACGGGGGGUGCGAGCGUUGUCCGGAAUCACUGGGCGUAAAGGGCGCGUAGGUGGUUUGAUAAGGGUGUGGUGAAAGUCCGGGGCUCAACCCCGGAUCUGCCGUGCCGACUGUCAAACUCGAGGGCUGUAGAGGCAGGCGGAAUUCCGGGUGUAGCGGUGGAAUGCGUAGAGAUCCGGAGGAAGACCGGUGGCGAAGGCGGCCUGCUGGGCCUUAACUGACGCUGAGGCGCGAAAGCGUGGGGAGCAAACAGG
RNAcentral lists this ribosomal RNA (253 nucleotides) under uncultured bacterium. Its description in RNAcentral is "partial 16S ribosomal RNA". It matches the Rfam family "Bacterial small subunit ribosomal RNA", at positions 524 to 776 of the family's 1533-position model. The record is from RNAcentral.